Long non-coding RNA from Xenia sp. Carnegie-2017, 528 nucleotides. RefSeq lists it as uncharacterized. The record is from RefSeq and is a predicted model, not a curated record. Lineage: Eukaryota; Metazoa; Cnidaria; Anthozoa; Malacalcyonacea; Xeniidae. The transcript is spliced from 3 exons.
GACCGCUUAGUGAUAAAUCUUAUCAGCAUCAAGAAAUACAAGACAUAUUGCAGUUUCUUUCGGUCAACGAUUACCAGCAUCCAAUCUCCAUGAAGAAAAUGACGAUUCCAACGAGCAAAGAGUUCCUGAAAGUAUUUUCCGUUAGUAUGUUGAUCUCUGUUGAAUCAUUUCACGUUGGUGACCAGUGUGUGUAUUAGUUGAGAAAAUAUAUUCAAAUUUUUUCUGGAAAAACAUACAUCCUGUCUCACAAUCAAAUUGAUACUAGUAUUUAUAUGCAGCUUCUGGGCAUCCAAUCGAAACAAAUACAGCAUUAAUAUGAUGCAGCAUUGAUAUAAAACAUCAUAUUGCUAUCAUAUGACAAAUAUUCCAAUUUGCAUUCUAGUAAUCAAUGUAUAACAUAAUUCACACAAUGUUUGUGACCUACCGAGCCUGAAAUCUCUAUGAACUUUGCAAUUUACUUUGCAGUUGUAUUUUACAGUUCCUUUAUAGCCAUAUCAGUCCAACGGACACAUAAAAACUAAAAGAAAA